This 472-nucleotide ribosomal RNA is filed under the name uncultured bacterium. Its description in RNAcentral is "bacterial SSU rRNA". It matches the Rfam family "Bacterial small subunit ribosomal RNA", at positions 355 to 825 of the family's 1533-position model. The record is from RNAcentral.
UAGGGAAUCUUCCACAAUGGACGCAAGUCUGAUGGAGCAACGCCGCGUGAGUGAAGAAGGGUUUCGGCUCGUAAAGCUCUGUUGUUGGUGAAGAAGGACAGGGGUAGUAACUGACCUUUGUUUGACGGUAAUCAAUUAGAAAGUCACGGCUAACUACGUGCCAGCAGCCGCGGUAAUACGUAGGUGGCAAGCGUUGUCCGGAUUUAUUGGGCGUAAAGCGAGUGCAGGCGGCUCGAUAAGUCUGAUGUGAAAGCCUUCGGCUCAACCGGAGAAUUGCAUCAGAAACUGUCGAGCUUGAGUACAGAAGAGGAGAGUGGAACUCCAUGUGUAGCGGUGAAAUGCGUAGAUAUAUGGAAGAACACCGGUGGCGAAGGCGGCUCUCUGGUCUGUUACUGACGCUGAGGCUCGAAAGCAUGGGUAGCGAACAGGAUUAGAUACCCCCGUAGUCCCUGAGCGGGCUGGCAAGGCGCAU